CCUACGGGUGACAGCAGUGAGGAAUAUUGGUCAAUGGCCAAGGCUGAACCAGCCAAGCCGCGUGAAGGACGAAGGUGCCAAGCAUUGUAAACUUCUUUUGUCAAGGGACAAAAUCAGGCUCGAGAGCCUGACCGAGGGUACUUGAAGGAAAAGCAUCGGCUAACUCCGUGCCAGCAGCCGCGGUAAUACGUAGGUGGCAAGCGUUAUCCGGGUUUACUGGGUGUAAAGGGCGGGUAGGCGGGAAAGCAAGUCAGAUGUGAAAACCAUGGGUUCAACCGGUGGCCUGCAUUUGAAACUGUUUUUCUUGAGUACUGGAGAGGCAGACGGAAUUCGUCGUGUAGCGGUGAAAUGCGUAGAUAUGAGGAGGAACACCAGGGGCGAAGGCGGUCCGCUGGACAGCAACUGACGCUGAGGCGCGAAAGCGUGGGGAGCAAACAGGAUUAGAUACCCGAGUAGUC
This 458-nucleotide ribosomal RNA is filed under the name uncultured bacterium. Its description in RNAcentral is "partial 16S ribosomal RNA". It matches the Rfam family "Bacterial small subunit ribosomal RNA", at positions 338 to 795 of the family's 1533-position model. The record is from RNAcentral.